This 467-nucleotide ribosomal RNA is filed under the name uncultured bacterium. RNAcentral's name for it is "partial 16S ribosomal RNA". It matches the Rfam family "Bacterial small subunit ribosomal RNA", at positions 28 to 507 of the family's 1533-position model. The record is from RNAcentral.
GAUGAACGCUGGCGGCGUGCUUAACACAUGCAAGUCGAACGGAAAGGCCUCUGCUUGCAGGGGUACUCGAGUGGCGAACGGGUGAGUAACACGUGGGUGAUCUGCCCUGCACUUCGGGAUAAGCCUGGGAAACUGGGUCUAAUACCGGAUAGGACAAUGGUUUGGAUGCUGUUGUGGAAAGUUUUUCGGUGUGGGAUGAGCUCGCGGCCUAUCAGCUUGUUGGUGGGGUAAUGGCCUACCAAGGCGUCGACGGGUAGCCGGCCUGAGAGGGUGUACGGCCACAUUGGGACUGAGAUACGGCCCAGACUCCGACGGGGGGCAGCAGUGGGGAAUAUUGCACAAUGGGCGCAAGCCUGAUGCAGCGACGCCGCGUGGGGGAUGACGGCCUUCGGGUUGUAAACUCCUUUCGCUAGGGACGAAGCGUUUUUGUGACGGUACCUGGAGAAGAAGCACCGGCUAACUACGUG